Symsagittifera roscoffensis is the source of this 637-nucleotide long non-coding RNA. RefSeq lists it as uncharacterized. The record is from RefSeq and is a predicted model, not a curated record. The transcript is spliced from 3 exons. Lineage: Eukaryota; Metazoa; Xenacoelomorpha; Acoela; Convolutidae.
AAAACUUUCGAGAAUGAAGUUUUCCGCUGAAUUUUUUGCUACAAUUGGAGCGGCCGUGAUGUGUCUGCUGGUAACAACAUCAGGAGUGAAACCACCUUUACUGGGAGAUUGGGGUUUUGUGGGGCCGAUAUAUAAAGAGUUCCAAGACGGUAUAUUGUCGGACAAGAACAACGCAGAUCUGGUUGACAUUCUUCUCGACUUGGGAUGUGACCCCCAAACUCUUUUCGUUCGGAGUUUAGCAUAUAAUUAUGCUGGAGAUUCUACCGAGGCAGUGCUUGAAGUGGAGUGUGGCUCUCAGCACAAAUGGAUAUAUGGGACGAGGCUUCUUGCAGACGUUCAGGGUGUUUUCUCCGAAAAUCCCAUUAUCUGAUGAUUUCGAUAAUUUAUAGUAUUAUUUAUAUUCGAUAAUUACAAGUCCGUUAAUUUAUCAAUUGUUGCUAUUUUUUAAACUGUUGAAAAUAUAUUCGUUGCGAUCAGCAGCUUAUUGCUUCGUAUCCAACGGCAAAAGAGAACCAACACCAAAUCUUCACUGACAAGCAAGGCCAGUAGAGACUUGCACUUUGAAUUCUAAAUUCAAGUUUCCAAUAUGCCCAAUUCGAAAAAAGAUUCAGUAUGUCCAAUCCAUAUCCUUAUUCAA